Molecule: unclassified non-coding RNA, 2624 nt
Filed under: Hevea brasiliensis (rubber tree)
Lineage: Eukaryota; Viridiplantae; Streptophyta; Magnoliopsida; Malpighiales; Euphorbiaceae
Source: RNAcentral
GGCAGAAAUACACACAACAUUGCAAAACAUGACCACUUAUUACAAGAAUUAUUCUUUUGCACACAAAUUUGUAAUCUUUGUGCAAGAUUCACAACAUAUACUACACUAAUUAUACAGCACUUAUCUAAGAAAAAUGUAGUAGAGACAACAAGAAUUGUGUACGAUUCGCGAAAACGAUGGUAAAGAGAGGCAAGGCCCUUUUAAACGAACCUCGAAUAGUCUUAACAACUCAUCAUGAUCACUCACAUUCAUGUUUAUUCAAUCAACGUCGGGCAGUAGAACUGCAGGUGUUCGUUUACACUGAUUCUACGACAACAAUAAGAAACACAGAAGUGGUUCGGGGCAGUACCGUUAUUAGCUGAGCACUGUAGAGGAGGAGAAGGAAGUCUAGAACUUGACAAACUCUUCACUUCUGCCAAAACACAGUAAAACAACCACACCACACUUUUUUUUGGAUGUUCAAGAAAGACCGAUUACCUUUCCAGUAGAUGUGUCGAUGUCAAUCUCGUAGAAACAAGGCCUCGUAGGCAAACCAGGCAUUGUGCUCAUUGUUCCAACAAGAGGAUAAAUGAAUCCUGCGCCAAUGCUUGCUCUAACGUCCCUGAUGGGCAGGAUGAAUCCACUAGGAGCGCCCUUCUUCCCGGCAUCAUGUGAAAAUGAAUAUUGUGUUUUCGCCAUGCAAAUUGGCAGAUUUGUAAAUCCUUGUUUGGUAUACAUCUCAAUCUGUUUCUCAGCCUCUUCAGAGUACUCUACUCCAUCAGCACCAUAUGAUUUUGCUAUUGCCUCUAUUUUAUCUUUGAUACCUAUAUCCAGCGGGUACAGGAAUUUUAGUGACUGUUUUGCAUUCUCACAGGCCUUCUGAACUGCGAUUCCGAGGUCCACCGCUCCUUUGCCACCAUGGGCAUGAUGAGUACAAAUUACUGAAUCAAAUGCUCCUGCAGCUAAUGCAGCAUUUUUAACUGCAUUUAGUUCUGCUUCAGUAUCAGUUGAGAAUGCAUUGACGGCAACCACAACAUUUACACCAUAAGCUUUUGUAUUUGAAAUAUGCCUAGCAAGAUUCACACAACCAGCUUCCACUAGUCCGAGAUUCUCAGUUACAUAGGCCUUGUCGAGAGGCUUUCCAGCUGUGACUUGAGGUCCUCCACCAUGCAUUUUAAGGGCUCUUACUGUGGCCACAAUAAUAGCGCACUGUGGUUUCAAGCCACUAUAUCGACAUUUGAUGUUCAUAAACUUCUCUGUCCCAAUAUCAGAACCAAAGCCAGCCUCUGUGACCACAAAGCCACCAGGUCCUACGAGCUUUAAUGCAAUCUUGUCAGCAACAAUAGAUGAAUUUCCAUGAGCAAUAUUUGCAAACGGACCGGCAUGAACAAGAACAGGGGUGCCCUCAAGAGUCUGCAUAAGAGUAGGAUUAAUGGCAUCUUUCAUCAAAACAGUCAAAGCGCCUCCAACCCCAAGAUCAUCAGCUGUAACUGGAUCACCGGCCUUGCUAUUCCCGACUACCAUUUUCCCCAGCCUCUCUCGCAUAUCAGCUAGUGAUGUCGUGAGGGCUAGAACUGCCAUUAUUUCACUAGCAACUGAAAUGUCAAAUGCUGUCUCCCGGACCAUCCCCUUCUCUUCAGGUCCCUGACCGAUGGUAAUUUUUCUCAAAAACCUAUCAUUGACAUCCAUGACUCUUCUCCAUGUGACGGAAGCAGGAUCUAUAUCUAGCCUAGCAAAUUUACUGCUCUCUUCAGGAGUAAGGUCUUCGGGGGCCGUCUUGUCAAUACCAAGUUUCUUCAAACGCCUAAACAUAAUGUCACAGAACUUCCGUUUACCUUCUUUAUUUGGUGGGCAUAACCUGUUAAAGAGAGCCUUGUCAGACUGCGUAGAUUCAUGGAAGAUUCGUGUAUCAAUCGCAGCAGCCAGAAGGUUAUUUGCUGCUGUUAUUGCAUGAAUAUCUCCAGUUAGGUGGAGAUUGAACUCAUCCAUUGGUAUAACUUGACUGUAACCACCUCCUGCAGCACCACCCUUGAUUCCGAAUGUUGGUCCUUGUGAUGGUUGGCGGACACAUGUCACAACCUUUUUAUCAAGGAAAGCUCCCAAAGCCUGGCAAAGACCAACUGUGGUAGUAGACUUCCCCUCUCCAAGAGGGGUUGGAGUUAUUCCUCCAACCACCACAUAAUACCCAUCCUCACUUCCUCCAACCUCAUCAAGCACGGAUAAGAGCACCUUGGCUUUAUACUUCCCAUACAAAUCAUAAUGCUGAGAGCUAAGAUUGAGUUCUUGAGCAAUCUCAGAAAUAUGAAGAGGUUCAACAGAGUUAGCAAUAUCUAUAUCUGCUGGAACAGGAGAAACAACUUCAAGUUUCCUUGUUGUCUUUCCCAUGAUUUCUUAUACACCCCUUAUCUAAAAACUUCAAAAUCUUGAUUUUUCCUUCAAUGGGUGUCUCCAAGAUUGGAUUUUUAGGUUCAAAAUGAAGAAAAAAAGAGUCCAAAGUCAAUUAUUGGCAAUGGGGUAUGUGAGAAAAAGCUAAAAAAAAAAAGUUGUUGGCUUUGCUGAAGAGAUGUUGACGCUUUGGCUUAGAUUAAUCUUAAUUUGAGGCCUUUCCUGAAAAGAAUUCUAUCUAAUGUGUGAUGGAUGCAUCG